Long non-coding RNA from Cornus florida, 748 nucleotides. RefSeq lists it as uncharacterized. NCBI's taxonomy places the organism in Eukaryota, Viridiplantae, Streptophyta, Magnoliopsida, Cornales, Cornaceae. The transcript is spliced from 3 exons. The record is from RefSeq and is a predicted model, not a curated record.
AAGUGGUCAGCCGAGGUGGGAAAUGAAAGAAAAAGAUGGAAAUGUUAAAAAAUUUUGGUAGGGUCCAUUAGGAGAAUAAUGGGUGAAUUGAUUUUGUUUUUUUAUUUAUAAACUCGUGUGUGUGUGUAUAUAUAUUUAUUGUAUCAGGGACAGCAAGGUGUGGACGAAAAAGAAGGAAAGAAAAGAAAGGUAAUUGCCGGGGCCUACUUGGUGACUUUUGGUGUGAUAUCUGUGUAUUUUUCGUGUGUGUAGUGUAAUUUGAAAGUAAAAGAAAAAUAAUUUAAUAGUGGGGUUCACAAGACACUUUAGGGUCAAGACCAUAAAGUUGGUCUCAUUUUCCUGAUUCCCUUUCUCUCUCUUCGUGCAUCUCUCUCAAUCCGUUCCGUUUGAGGCAAAACAAAGCUCGUGUCAAACUCUUUACAUCCAUACCAUCAAUUUCCAGUUUUGAGUCUUCCUUGGAGCUCGACUGUGAGGACCCAUUUUCUAGGGUUUUGGUGCAAUCUUGAGGUCUUGGAAAAGAACCAGUGGACGACAAUCCACCCCAACUUUGAAAGUUGCUAGAGGAGCAUUUUCCUUGUUAUUUUGUAAUAGAUUACUCCUUUGUUCAUCCCUCAUUUUUUGUAAAAUUCCAAAGGUGUAAUGAUGUAAAUUUCUUUUGAAGAACCAUGAUCAUGUAAUACACUUAUGAUACUUGAUGACAUAUGGGAUGCGAACUUGAUGAUAUGUAACUUGUUGAUGAAUGGAAGGA